RNAcentral lists this ribosomal RNA (248 nucleotides) under uncultured bacterium. RNAcentral describes it as "partial 16S ribosomal RNA". It matches the Rfam family "Bacterial small subunit ribosomal RNA", at positions 109 to 353 of the family's 1533-position model. The record is from RNAcentral.
AGUAACACGUGGGUAACCUGCCUUAUAGUGGGGGAUAGCCUUUCGAAAGGAAGAUUAAUACCGCAUAAGAUUGUAGUAUCGCAUGAUAUAGCAAUUAAAGGAGCAAUCCGCUAUAAGAUGGACCCGCGUCGCAUUAGCUAGUUGGUGAGGUAAUGGCUCACCAAGGCGACGAUGCGUAGCCGACCUGAGAGGGUGAUCGGCCACAUUGGGACUGGGACACGGCCCAGACUCCUACGGGAGGCAGCAUG